GAUGAACGCUAGCGGCAGGCUUAAUACAUGCAAGUCGAGGGGCAGCGCAGUGUAGCAAUACAUGGGCGGCGACCGGCAAACGGGUGCGGAACACGUACGCAACCUUCCUUUAACUGGGAGAUAGCCCACCGAAAGGUGGAUUAAUAUCCCAUAGUAUAUUUGGAGUGGCAUCACUUAGAUAUUAAAGCUCCGGCGGUUAAAGAUGGGCGUGCGUCUGAUUAGGUAGUUGGCGGGGUAACGGCCCACCAAGUCCACGAUCAGUAGCUGAUGUGAGAGCAUGAUCAGCCACACGGGCACUGAGACACGGGCCCNACUCCUACGGGAGGCAGCAGUAAGGAAUAUUGGUCAAUGGACGCAAGUCUGAACCAGCCAUGCCGCGUGGAGGAUGAAGGCCCUCUGGGUUGUAAACUUCUUUUCUUUGGGACCGAAACCCCUGUUCUACGGGGACUGACGGUACCAGGAGGAAUAAGCACCGGCUAACUCCGUGCCAGCAGCCGCGGU
This 501-nucleotide ribosomal RNA is filed under the name uncultured bacterium. RNAcentral's name for it is "bacterial SSU rRNA". It matches the Rfam family "Bacterial small subunit ribosomal RNA", at positions 28 to 521 of the family's 1533-position model. The record is from RNAcentral.